This 253-nucleotide ribosomal RNA is filed under the name uncultured bacterium. Its description in RNAcentral is "partial 16S ribosomal RNA". It matches the Rfam family "Bacterial small subunit ribosomal RNA", at positions 524 to 776 of the family's 1533-position model. The record is from RNAcentral.
UACAGAGGGGGCGAGCGUUGUUCGGAAUUACUGGGCGUAAAGGGCGCGUAGGCGGCCUCUUAAGUCGAACGUGAAAUCCCCGGGCUCAACCCGGGAACUGCGUCCGAUACUGGGAGGCUUGAAUCCGGGAGAGGGAUGCAGAAUUCCAGGUGUAGCGGUGAAAUGCGUAGAUAUCUGGAGGAAUACCGGUGGCGAAGGCGGCAUCCUGGACCGACAUUGACGCUGAGGAGCGAAAGCUAGGGGAGCAAACGGG